Molecule: long non-coding RNA, 870 nt
Organism: Anguilla rostrata (American eel)
Lineage: Eukaryota; Metazoa; Chordata; Actinopteri; Anguilliformes; Anguillidae
Exons: 2
Source: RefSeq, a predicted model, not a curated record
GGUCCCCUGAAGCCUUAAUGCCCCUGGAGACAGACGUUAUCAGACCCGGCAGCCAUUUCCCCUCCCUGAUACAGCUACUUUUCCCCCCGUAGCCCCACUCUCACACCCUCGUCCUUGGCCCCCCCACCCAUCCAAGAGCUGUAUUACCAACAGGGUCUCUUUCCCUGGCUUUAUUUUAGCCUGAGUAUUGCAGCACUGCCACAGUUGUGCAACAGUUGUGUGUGUGGGGGUGUUGCCAUGUCAUGUUCAGGUACUGACUGAAAACUGGAGGCCUCUAAGUAGUCAGACAUUGCAGUAAACUUAGCACAACAACUGACAGGAAGACACAACACGCAGAAAUAAGCAUUGUGGGGCCGCCUCCAGCGUCAUUUCAGAGAUUUUGGAAGUUCAUCCAACAGGCCUCAAAACCGCAGACCACGUGUAACCACGCCAGCCCAGGACCGCCCUAUCCGACUUCUUCACCUGCAGGAUCGUCUGAGGCCAGCCACAUGGACAGCUGAUGAAACCGUUGGUUUACACAACCGUAGAAUUUCUGCACAAACUGUCAGAAAUCGCCUCAGGGAAGCUCAUCUGCGUGCUCGACGUCCUCACCAGGGUCUUGAUUUGCCUGCGGAUUGGUGUAACAAUCGAAGUGAGUGGGCAGGAGCUCACCUUCAAUGGCCACUGGCACGCUGGAGAACGGUCCUCUUCACUAAUUAAUUGUUUUAUUUUUUUUACUGCUGCUCGUUGUUUCCUUGUAUUGACCCAUGUAUGUUGAUCUGUUGCCUCUGACAUAUAACUACCUUGUCUGCGAGUUUUGGAGUUGUGUGUAUGGACUGAGUAAGCUGCAGAUUGCCCUUCUUGGGAUCAAUAAAGUUGUCUGAUUCUGAA